UGGGGAAUUUUGCACAAUGGAGGAAACUCUGAUGCAGCGACGCCGCGUGAGUGAUGAAGAUCUUCGGAUUGUAAAACUCUGUCCUUAGUGAAGAUAAUGACAGUAACUAAGAAGCAAGCCCUGGCUAAAUACGUGCCAGCAGCCGCGGUAAUACGUAUGGGGCAAGCGUUGUCCGGAAUUAUUGGGCGUAAAGGGUACGUAGGCGGUUUAAUAAGUCCUAAUUAAAAGGCUAUGGCUCAACCAUAGUAUGGUUAGGAAACUGUUGAACUUGAGUAGAUGAGGGGAAAGUGGAAUUCCAUGUGUAGCGGUGAAAUGCGUAGAUAUAUGGAGGAACACCAAUGGCGAAGGCAACUGUCUGGAAUCAAACUGACGCUGAGGUACGAAGGCGUGGGGAGCAAACAGG
Molecule: ribosomal RNA, 403 nt
Filed under: Fusobacteriota bacterium
Lineage: Bacteria; Fusobacteriati; Fusobacteriota
Description: Fusobacteria bacterium partial 16S ribosomal RNA
Rfam family: Bacterial small subunit ribosomal RNA
Source: RNAcentral